UACGUAGGGGGCAAGCGUUAUCCGGAUUUACUGGGCAUAAAGGGCGCGUAGGUGGUGUUUUAAGUCAGAUGUUAAAUCUCCCAGCUUAACUGGGACCCGCAUUUGAAACUGGAACACUCGAGUACAGGAGAGGAAAGCGGAACUCACGGUGUAGCGGUGAAAUGCGUAGAUAUCGUGGGGAACACCAGUUGCGAAGGCGGCUUUCUGGACUGUUACUGACACUGAGGCGCGAAAGCGUGGGGAGCAAACAGG
RNAcentral lists this ribosomal RNA (252 nucleotides) under uncultured bacterium. RNAcentral describes it as "partial 16S ribosomal RNA". It matches the Rfam family "Bacterial small subunit ribosomal RNA", at positions 524 to 776 of the family's 1533-position model. The record is from RNAcentral.